Ictalurus furcatus (blue catfish) is the source of this 5245-nucleotide RNA transcript. It is a transcript of the gene named EF-hand domain family, member D2, with no coding region annotated. The record is from RefSeq and is a predicted model, not a curated record. NCBI's taxonomy places the organism in Eukaryota, Metazoa, Chordata, Actinopteri, Siluriformes, Ictaluridae. The transcript is spliced from 4 exons.
GUUCACGCGAACUCUACACACAGGCGUGCGCUGUCUGUUUGAAUCGUGCGGUACGCCGAAUGAACCGUUGACCACUGUCGUUAAGCUCGCGCGCUACAUUUUUAAGAUAAACGACGUACAAGCACAUACUCAGGGUUUUACUCACUGAAGACAGUCGCGUACGAACUGCGGACGUUGUAGACUGAAGUGCUUUAUAACCCAUGUGGUUUGUCUAGCGGGCAGCGAGCUUGUGAUAACCAGUUAAAGAGAGGAAAAUGGCCUCGAACGAGCUGUCGGCGAAGCUUCACCGGCGGCUGAAGAUAGAGGAGGGCGAGGAGGAGCCGCAUGCCGUGGACGAGGGUCAUGAGAACGGCGCGCACGAGAAAGCGAGCACUACCAAUGCCGACUCGGAGCUGGGAGCCAAACUUCUGCGGCGAGGCGAGCUGAACGAGGGAAUGGGCGAGCACCAGCAGCCCAGCAUGAAGGUGUUCAACCCGUACACUGAGUUCAAGGAGUUCUCCAGGAAGCAGAUUAAGGACAUGGAGAAAAUGUUUAAAUUGUAUGACUCAGAGAAGGAUAACUACAUUGACCUGAUGGAGCUGAAGCUGAUGAUGGAGAAGCUCGGUGCUCCACAGACUCACAUGGGCCUGAAGAAUAUGAUCAAAGAGGUGGAUGAAGACUUGGAUGGCAAACUGAACUUCAGAGAGUUCCUCCUGAUCUUCAGGAAGGCAGCAGCAGGGGAGCUGGCUGAGGACAGCGGGUUAUGUGUCUUAGCUCGUCUCUCUGAAAUUGACGUGUCCACUGAGGGUGUGAAAGGAGCAAAGUCUUUCUUUGAAGCCAAAGUAAUACAUUUAUUUAAUUUUCUUCCAUUUACUUCAAAGCAUAUAAACAAGUUUCAUGUCUCAAGGUGUUGGUGGGUCCUUAAGCUCUUAAUUUGUUUAGAUUUGCUUUUUCUUUUUUCUUUUUUUUUCUUUUUAAACAAUGAAUGGAUUUAAGUAUUAAAUUGUAUUACAUUGGAGUUUACAUGGUCCUAGAUUUUGGGAUUUAUAAGCAGUUCUUUCUUUAAUUUUUUUUACAUUAAAUUUUUUCCUUAUGUAAUUGGAUCUGUUGUGAAAACAUUUGACCGCGCGCACACGCACACAUAGACCCAGUGCAUGAUACUGGGUCAUUCAUAACUGUGAUGCCCUGACAAUCUUCCCCUUAAAUGGAUCUCUAACAUCAGCGCUUAACAUCAGUUGCUUUGUCACUGCUGUCGAGUCUCUCUUGUUCACACACAUGCACAUAAACAUUUCCAUUCUUAUGGAGCACUGAAUGCCAUUCUGUAGUCAUUUUGUCUUAUUGUUUGUUAGUGUAUUAUUGUUUAACUAGCCAGUCCUUUUGAAAAAUGCACAACACACAAUCAUCAGUACUAAUUUGUCCGAUUUGUGUCAGACAUCUUUGUUCAUACCUUGUGUGCAUGUUUGUCUUUUAUCUGAGAAGCUCAUGAGGGAGGAGGGAUAUCAGAGAUUAUAAGGAGUGCAGAGUUAAACACUCAUCUCCUCCUUUUAACUGCAUGCACUAAUGCUUUAGCAUCAGGUGCCAGUGUUUGUGCAUGCUGAGGACAGCGGGUUAUGUGUCUUAGCUCGUCUCUCUGAAAUUGACGUGUCCACUGAGGGUGUGAAAGGAGCAAAGUCUUUCUUUGAAGCCAAAGUAAUACAUUAUUUAAUUUUCUUCCAUUUACUUCAAAGCAUAUAAACAAGUUUCAUGUCUCAAGGUGUUGGUGGGUCCUUAAGCUCUUAAUUUGUUUAGAUUUGCUUUUUCUUUUUUCUUUUUUUUUCUUUUUAAACAAUGAAUGGAUUUAAGUAUUAAAUUGUAUUACAUUGGAGUUUACAUGGUCCUAGAUUUUGGGAUUUAUAAGCAGUUCUUUCUUUAAUUUUUUUUACAUUAAAUUUUUUCCUUAUGUAAUUGGAUCUGUUGUGAAAACAUUUGACCGCGCGCACACGCACACAUAGACCCAGUGCAUGAUACUGGGUCAUUCAUAACUGUGAUGCCCUGACAAUCUUCCCCUUAAAUGGAUCUCUAACAUCAGCGCUUAACAUCAGUUGCUUUGUCACUGCUGUCGAGUCUCUCUUGUUCACACACAUGCACAUAAACAUUUCCAUUCUUAUGGAGCACUGAAUGCCAUUCUGUAGUCAUUUUGUAUUAUUGUUUGUUAGUGUAUUAUUGUUUAACUAGCCAGUCCUUUUGAAAAAUGCACAACACACAAUCAUCAGUACUAAUUUGUCCGAUUUGUGUCAGACAUCUUUGUUCAUACCUUGUGUGCAUGUUUGUCUUUUAUCUGAGAAGCUCAUGAGGGAGGAGGGAUAUCAGAGAUUAUAAGGAGUGCAGAGUUAAACACUCAUCUCCUCCUUUUAACUGCAUGCACUAAUGCUUUAGCAUCAGGUGCCAGUGUUUGUGCAUGCUGAGGACAGCGGGUUAUGUGUCUUAGCUCGUCUCUCUGAAAUUGACGUGUCCACUGAGGGUGUGAAAGGAGCAAAGUCUUUCUUUGAAGCCAAAGUCCAUGCCAUUAACGAGUCGAACCGUUUCGAGGCAGAGAUCCGUAACGAGCAGGAGGAGAAGAAACGACAGGCAGAGGAGAAGAAACAGAGACAAGCGGCAUUCAAAAAUCUACAGUCAGCCUUCAAAUGACCGCCUUCCUGUCCUAUUAGUGCCCUGCUUUAACCAUCCUCCUCUUCCUCAUUGUUUGUGUCAGUCUCCUGUUUAUCAGAGCACCAUGGCAGAGAUACUAUGCAACGCUUUUAGAGGUUUCCAUUCCAGGUUCACUCCCUUAGUGAGGGCUCGUAGUGUCAGUUUCAAGCUUAGACCUUUAAGUAGGGUGUUGAAGUGGCUACUGAGAUCCUCACUAUUUGUCUCUCUUGAUUUUGAACUUGCAGUCCUCUAAGGACAUGUCUCUUUACACUGGACUGGAUGUGUCACUUGCCUAAUUUGUUCUCCACUGCUAUAACUUAACACACAUUUUGCAUAUGUGAGGUGCUUUCUAUUUCACUUCACUGUCACAUUGUUCUUUAGUCAAAUAAGCAAGACAGAGGUGUGAGUAUCUCUUUUAAAGGGAAUUUUUAAAAAUGUUUUUAAACUGUCGGAUUAUAUCGGCGCAUCCAGUCCAUUGUGACCCUCUUGUAUUCAGCAUCAUGUGUUGUGGAAUAAAGUCUAGGUUUCAUCUUGCUAACUGGAUUAGUACAGCAAAUAUUAUUAUGAACUUAAACCUUGCUUAAGAGUUCUGUAUUUUUACACUGUGGCUUGGAAGGGAAUGUGUUAACAUGCAUGUGCUGUUGGUUGGGUUUUAUUUUUUUGAAUGAUAACUGUGAUGCCCUGACAAUCUUCCCCUUAAAUGGAUCUCUAACAUCAGCGCUUAACAUCAGUUGCUUUGUCACUGCUGUCGAGUCUCUCUUGUUCACACACAUGCACAUAAACAUUUCCAUUCUUAUGGAGCACUGAAUGCCAUUCUGUAGUCAUUUUGUCUUAUUGUUUGUUAGUGUAUUAUUGUUUAACUAGCCAGUCCUUUUGAAAAAUGCACAACACACAAUCAUCAGUACUAAUUUGUCCGAUUUGUGUCAGACAUCUUUGUUCAUACCUUGUGUGCAUGUUUGUCUUUUAUCUGAGAAGCUCAUGAGGGAGGAGGGAUAUCAGAGAUUAUAAGGAGUGCAGAGUUAAACACUCAUCUCCUCCUCUUAACUGCAUGCACUAAUGCUUUAGCAUCAGGUGCCAGUGUUUGUGCAUGCUAUAGCCAGUACACAAAUUUAAGCAUUUGGAAAUGUUUCGAUCCUUCUUUUGAAAUGUAGUCUGGUGCUAGUACGAAAAUAUAGUUGCUUACCUCUCAGCAAAGUCGUUUAGACUAAAAUGUGGUCUGUAACUUUGUGGCAAGUAGAUAUUUUUUUUUUUCUGCAUGGUGUGUAACAUCAGACUGGCAAAUUAAUUUUUAAUUACUUUAAAUUCUGCAAAUAAUGUUUUACUCUGGAGAAAAAGGGCACAUUGUUGUAGACAAAAUUGUCUCCAUGCUUCCAUUUGAAUGAUUUUAAAUCAUAAUUGAAUUUCAGUUGUUUGACAUUUAAAGCUAAAACUUGUGUGAUUUGCAGCACGUGUCAGCACAGGUAACCGAGAGAAUCAAAUAUUUUUUCCAGAAAUAAAGUUGCAGAACUAAACUGCCUUUAGUUUUGUAUGAUGAGGGGCCUUUUGAAAACGUUCCUUGAAAUGCCAUCCUUGUUCACAAACUUGUCUCCUUUCACAUCAUCAGGUGUUCCUCACAGUUUAAGUGCUGUUCUGUGAUUGAAUGUGAGAUUUUUCUGCAUUUAUUUUUUAUUUUUGAGCUAGUGGUCUGCUAUGCAUCCAUUUAUAUUCUUGUUAAGUACAUAUAUUUGGAGUCCCUGGCAGUCUGUGAUGAUUUUGUAUUAUGAAUAAACAAACAAUAGAUGCAUGGCUAUGUUGAAUAGCUUUAUGUCUUCAGAUGUAUUUGAGUGUUCUGCAGAUUAAAUGUGGGGUUUGAGUCAAUAAUCUAGUGUGUGUGUGUGUGUGUGUGUGUGUGUGGGUGGGUGGUGGUGGUGGUGGUGUAGAUUUCUGAUGGAAACACUGGAGUACCUGAGGGACAUAAAAAUUGUGUGAUCCUCCAUCAUUAUUUAACUUGCUAUGAAAAACAUGUACACCAGAUAUUUGGAUACAUUAUAAAAUUACAAUGUACAUGAAGACAUUGUGGAAGAUUCAGUGUACAGAAUGUAGAAAUGGAUUCCACAAGCCAUUCAAUAAACCGUGUCUGCUUAAGUAGCCAUUCUGUAAUUCUCUGUAUAAAUUUUCCAGGUUGUCAGGCAUGACAUUUCAUGUGUCCGAGGGUUUAUUGUGAUUAUGUUCAUCAAAUUACAUGGAGAAUGUUAUAAUCCAGAUUGAAAGACUUUGAACUUUAUGCUGACCACUAGCCAGCACAGCACGUUAUCCAAUUAGCCAACUCUCAGACCACGUCUGCUUUUAUUUUUUACCUCUCACUUACUUCAGUGUUUCCAUUGCAAAGGGAUGUACUGGUAACUUAGUGACUGGUGGUUAAUGGACCAGUGCUUUCUAACUCCACCUUGUCUGUAGGCAGCCAAAAUACUGUACUGUUCCUCAAUGUUGUUUUGAUUUUCUUUGUUAAAUGUUUUAACAAAGCUCUGUUUGCUUUACUAAUUUUCACAUAAUUCCAUUAAUUCAAUAUUGUGGUUGACCAUAAAAAAAAGUGACCAUAAACUGAGAGAUGUUUUCAUGA